UACGUAGGGUGCAAGCGUUGUCCGGAAUUAUUGGGCGUAAAGAGCUCGUAGGCGGUUUGUCGCGUCUGCUGUGAAAACUCGGGGCUUAACUCCGGGCCUGCAGUGGGUACGGGCAGACUAGAGUGCGGUAGGGGAGACUGGAAUUCCUGGUGUAGCGGUGAAAUGCGCAGAUAUCAGGAGGAACACCGGUGGCGAAGGCGGCGACCUGGGUAGAUACUGACGCUGAGGUGCGAAAGCGUGGGGAGCAAACAGG
This 253-nucleotide ribosomal RNA is filed under the name uncultured bacterium. Its description in RNAcentral is "partial 16S ribosomal RNA". It matches the Rfam family "Bacterial small subunit ribosomal RNA", at positions 524 to 776 of the family's 1533-position model. The record is from RNAcentral.